CCAUUGAUCAGUACUACGUGUAUGCGUUUCUUAGGAAGAAUUGUCGAGAACAUAGUGUGUAAAUGGAAUCACACUGAUUGGGAUUCGAUCCCAAACAACUCUUUAUGAAGAAAUUGGGCUAUAUUCUUAAGCUGAGAAGAGUAUGGCGAAAGAUGUGGGAGCUUUGCAGAGAGUCUUGCUGGAAGCAUCGACGGAGGAGAAAACGGUGAUACUAACGACCUUAUACCAGGCUUGGGCUGAGCCUAACUCAACGUUCGAUUUGUUUCUGGAGGGUUUCCACGUCGGAGUAGGGACUAAGCGACUGCUCCGCCACCUUGUAGUGGUUUGUAUGUAUGGACGAGGAAGCUUACUCAAGGUGCUUGGAGAUCCAUCCCCGCCGUUGCUAUUGAUUUUUCUUUUCCGGCCAGAAGAACUUCAUGACACCGGACUAUCUCAAGAUGAUGUGGCGCCGCCUAGAGUUCUUGGGUUCUAUCUUGGAGCUUGGAUAUAAUAAGAGCAUCAUUAACUGGGGGAAAGAAGAUACUGUCUUCUGAGACGGGUGUUGUGUAUUGGUUGUUCUUCUCCUUCUCUUCUUCGCCUUCUCGUUCUUCUGCUGCUUGGCUGUUCAUCUCUGUCUCGUGGAUCGAAAAACUAAAGCGAAUGGACAAAGGCAAAGCAGUGAUGGGUACUGGCCGGAGAUGGGCCGUCGAUUUCUCCGAUCAAUCCACCGUUCCAUCUUCCCGCGACAUUCUCGAUCCCCCUGGCUUCAUACGUGUAUAUCCUCCGCCUCUUCGAGCAGAUUUUGUUUUGUUUUCUUCAGCUCUUCCUCGUCUUUGGCGAUUCUCCUCCUAGCCUCCGUUAUCCAACCAUGAACGAGAAGGCCAACGUAUCCAAGGAGCUUAAUGCCCGCCACAGAAAG
This is a long non-coding RNA of Brassica napus (rape), 898 nucleotides long. RefSeq lists it as uncharacterized. NCBI's taxonomy places the organism in Eukaryota, Viridiplantae, Streptophyta, Magnoliopsida, Brassicales, Brassicaceae. The transcript is spliced from 3 exons. The record is from RefSeq and is a predicted model, not a curated record.